RNAcentral lists this ribosomal RNA (682 nucleotides) under uncultured bacterium. Its description in RNAcentral is "bacterial SSU rRNA". It matches the Rfam family "Bacterial small subunit ribosomal RNA", at positions 8 to 689 of the family's 1533-position model. The record is from RNAcentral.
AGAGUUUGAUCCUGGCUCAGAUUGAACGCUGGCGGUAUGCCUUACACAUGCAAGUCGAACGGUAGAGGAGCAAUCCUCGAGAGUGGCGAACGGGUGAGUAAUACAUCGGAACGUGCCCAGUCGUGGGGGAUAACGUAGCGAAAGCUACGCUAAUACCGCAUACGACCCGAGGGUGAAAGCGGGGGACUCGCAAGAGCCUCGCGCGAUUGGAGCGGCCGAUGGCAGAUUAGGUAGUUGGUGGGGUAAAGGCCCACCAAGCCUGCGAUCUGUAGCUGGUCUGAGAGGACGACCAGCCACACUGGGACUGAGACACGGCCCAGACUCCUACGGGAGGCAGCAGUGGGGAAUUUUGGACAAUGGGCGAAAGCCUGAUCCAGCCAUACCGCGUGCGGGAAGAAGGCCUUCGGGUUGUAAACCGCUUUUGUCAGGGAAGAAAUACUUCGGGCUAAUACCCUGGGGUGAUGACGGUACCUGAAGAAUAAGCACCGGCUAACUACGUGCCAGCAGCCGCGGUAAUACGUAGGGUGCAAGCGUUAAUCGGAAUUACUGGGCGUAAAGCGUGCGCAGGCGGUUCUAUAAGACAGAUGUGAAAUCCCCGGGCUCAACCUGGGAACUGCAUUUGUGACUGUAGAGCUAGAGUACGGUAGAGGGGGAUGGAAUUCCGCGUGUAGCAGUGAAAUGC